CCCUAUUUGCUCAGAGGUUUUCAGAAAAAGGAGCUUAAAACCAGCAUUUUAAAAACCAGAAAAUAACACAAUAAGCUAGAAUUUGCAAGACAAAGCCUGGUUUGUGUGUGGAGUGGGUCCAAGGAUUUCGAAGGGACUUCAGGGUGCGAACAGUCUUGUGCUGGGCUCACGUGUGUUUCUAUGAAGAAUGUUGUGCGUGUCAAACCAGUAUGCCGUGUAGAGGAACGUGACAGCCAAGCUGACAAAGAUGAGGAUGACUGAAAUAGGCAGAUGAUGACAAUGACUUUUAUGAUUAGCUACAAGAACCUUACUUGAAAACUUUGCAGUUUCCUACAAAUUUUAACAGAAAAUUUUUGAUUGUUUUCUGUAAAUGAAUGCUUUCAAAAUACUAAUAAAAUAAUGCCAUGGGA
Molecule: long non-coding RNA, 410 nt
Organism: Hemicordylus capensis (graceful crag lizard)
Lineage: Eukaryota; Metazoa; Chordata; Lepidosauria; Squamata; Cordylidae
Exons: 2
Source: RefSeq, a predicted model, not a curated record